AAACCCUUUCAUUUCGACC
RNAcentral lists this ribosomal RNA (19 nucleotides) under Neodesmus danubialis. Its description in RNAcentral is "partial 28S ribosomal RNA". The record is from RNAcentral. Lineage: Eukaryota; Viridiplantae; Chlorophyta; Chlorophyceae; Sphaeropleales; Scenedesmaceae.